AACCUGAGACUGCUAUGGAUUUUUUUUUUUUUUUCCCCAGAGGGAUAAAGACCAGGAAUUUUCUGAAACACAAACAUAAUGACAGAAUAUUUUUUCACAGUAACUCUGGUGAUUUUUUUUUGAGUAAUUUAUUCACUGAUACAUGCCAGGGCAAGAGUUACAAAUCAGAAGUGUAUCUGCAAGGCAGAUUAUUUAUCUCCAAAGGAAACUCUUGCCAACUGAUCCCAGGCAGAAGAUUGGCUUUGGUUCUGCAAGCAGCUGCUCAUCUUCCCACUUUGCUGGAGAUUGAGUUAUAUAUACUACAUCUUCACCUAAAAAGAAACAGCGUGACCACAAGUUAACCUUGAAAUAUGUGAACUCUUGGAAAUCUACACAACUCUUACAGCCAACAAA
Molecule: long non-coding RNA, 393 nt
Organism: Cygnus olor (mute swan)
Lineage: Eukaryota; Metazoa; Chordata; Aves; Anseriformes; Anatidae
Exons: 3
Source: RefSeq, a predicted model, not a curated record